AUUUCACAAUAGAAAUGGUGGUUAUUCUGUCAUUGGGCCAUGUCAUGAAUAUGAGGAUCUGUUCUUUAAAAUAGUUCUGAUAAUAAAAUAUAAUUUAUUUCAAUUACCUUCAACCAGACACAGCUCCCUGAGGUAGUUGCACUUUCUUCAGAAAGGACGCGGUCUUUCAUAGCCUGGCUGAGGGACAACAGACCUUUAAGCCCAGUUCUUCAAGUAAUAAAAGAUGAAACUCCUGCCAAGACAGAGUUUUUUCAGCAUUUAAUUGAAGAUCGGACAGAAGCAGCUUUCUCUUAUUAUGAAUUCUUACUUCAUAUUCAGCAGCAGAUUUGUAAAUGAGCAAGGAGUAAACUAGAAGAAAAAUCCUGACUCCAGAUAGAAGCAUUGGCUGAGAGAAGUAUAUGGAAAGUUACAAAAGUGGAUGUUUGUUCUUCACAGUAUACAGUAAUCAGCACUGGUUUGGAAACUUUACAGCUAAAGAAGAAGAUGUAUACAUUUCCAGAAGAGUUUUGCAGAUUUAUUUCAGUCUAAAAGUGCUAGGAAUGGUGAAGCUGUUUUCAGUAGUAAAUUUUAAAGUGGUUUAUCCACGUUUCCAGUAGUGCGGCGGUAUGGUGCUCUGUUUAUUGCAAGCUACAUAUUCUAUGUAGCUAUGUGGGAUGAUAUUUCUUAAUGAAAUGUACAAUUAGGUAAAGCCUUUUUUUUCUUACGUUUAUUCUGGUAGCCCUUCAAGAUUCAAAUUCUUAACAGAGAUGUCAAAGGGCAGUGCUGUAUGUUGGUUGUUUAUAUGAAUUUCUUCUUAAAAGAAACAAUUCAUAUUUAGUAAAGACUCAGCGAAUUCCCUUUGAAAGUUGUAGAAUUUCACUAAAGUAAAUGAAUUGUAGAAAUAAAAUAUAUAAUGUACAUAAGUAUUACAUUUGUAAAGAAAAUGUAAAAAUGUAACUAAAAAAAAAGACUUAGCUCAGUGUGCUGAAUUGUUGAGUGUUCAAUGAUGAAUUGUUUCAGUCCCAAGCUAGACAGUGAAGCUGACUAUUAAAACAUGCUUAAAAAAAAAUCCAUGUAGAAGGAACACAGCUUCUUGUUCUGUUUAAUUUUUAGGUGGAUUUAUUUAUGAUUGGCUUACUAAUUAAAAAUAUUUUGCUUUAUCAUGUGUUUUUAUAUUUAUGCAAAUACUAUCUUUUUGCAACUGAACUAUAUAUUGAAGAGAACAUGUUUACCAUUUUAUUUUGCAGAAGGGAGGGAAGGGAGGAAAAAACAUUGCACUCUCUGAAAUGAGCUAUCAAUACAAUACAAUAGUUAAAGUUCCUGAAACCCUCCCUGUGUUAUCCUAAAGAAGACACAUCUGCUACCCUUGUUUUACGUUUUGUAAACUGCUGUAAUCUCGGUCCAGGUUUUCUGUAACUUUUGUCUGCUGUUUAGAGUAAGCAUGGGUAAUCACUCAAUCUAACUUGACUAUAUGAUUUCUGUUAUGAUCUAAAGGGGGAAAAAAAAAAAAAAAAGGUGAAGAGGGGUGUAAAAAUGAAUUAGCUUGCAACAAGGGAAGUAAAGGCUUUAAUAUACCAAAUUUCAAAAUGCAGUCACAUAGUCACAUUCUUACAUUUUUCCAAAACCUUGUUCUUGCUAAUGUUUUGGUAAAUUAUUUGUGAAGUUUCAGAUGGAUUUAGCUCAGAUUUUGAAACUUUGUUGUGAAAUUGGGGUGGUUUUGUUUCAUUUUUUUUUUUUUUUAGAGGCACAUUAGAAAUAAUUCACAAAGUAUAGUCACUCAUACAUAGUACUUUUUGUUCAUUUGUUCGAUGAAAUAUAACUAAAAUAAUUAAAUACAAAAAAAAAUAAUUAGUAUGAUUACAUUUUAUUUUAAAGUAGUCUUGAGAAUGUUAACAUGUUGCGUAACUGCCGUAUCCCCUGAAAGUGGAACUUGAAUAGUCGAGAAAAAAUGUUCUAGCUAUGGUUUGCAAAUGAUUUUAAAAAGUUACCCUAGUUAAAUUGUUCAAGUGAUGUUACUCUGCAUGUUAGCAUCAAUUCAUUGUUUGGGGAAAAUAUAAUUUACAUGUGUGUUGUCCUUAACUAAAUGUUUUUCAGUUACGUAAAAGAAACUUACCUAAAAUAAAUUACUUGAGAUUUUUUUUUUUUUCCAUUUAGUAAAUUAUCAUGUAAUAAAUGUCUGAGGUGAUGUUGAA
Oxyura jamaicensis (ruddy duck) is the source of this 2171-nucleotide long non-coding RNA. RefSeq lists it as uncharacterized. The transcript is spliced from 2 exons. The record is from RefSeq and is a predicted model, not a curated record. NCBI's taxonomy places the organism in Eukaryota, Metazoa, Chordata, Aves, Anseriformes, Anatidae.